CUGCAGCUGUACACACUCCUCUUCCUACUGAGACAACACCUGAAGGUAUUUGUUGUUGGCUUUUUUUUUCAUGUGCUAUCGGUUUAGAUUUGCUUCAGUGAUAUAAAUUUUGCUGUGUGGUGGUUUUGUUGUAAUUUGUUUUGUUGUAGAUGCUGAGGGUGAGGAAGAGGCUGCGAAAGAGGCUUAUGAGGUCGCUGGCAAUGAGGAUGAAGUAGGUCAGAAGGAGGGCGAGACAGAGGCUGACAAGGAGGGUGAAACUGAGGAAGGCAAGACAGAUGUGGAGGACUCGCCAUCUACUCUUCAAGUGAUGGCAGAAGCUGCGGAGAAACUCGAGAAAGAGGUUGAUGAUAAGGCUGCUGCAGAGAAAGCUGCUGCAGAGAAGGCUGCUGCUGAGUUAGCUGCUGCUGAAAAGGCAGCUAGUGAUAAGGAAAAAGUUGGUGAUCAGAAGGAGACCAGGCCAAAGAGGACCCAUAAACCUUCUCGUCCGCUCAGGUCUCCGUAUCAGAAAAACUAAUAGCUAUUUGGAAUAGCUUUUAAGAACUAAAACUUAUGUUCCAACUAAAACUUAUGACUUAUGUUUCUUUUGAUGCUAAAACUUAUGACUUAAGCUUAUGAGGUCGCUGGCAAUGAGGAUGAAGUAGGUCAGAAGGAGGGCGAGACAGAGGCUGACAAGGAGGGUGAAACUGAGGAAGGCAAGACAGAUGUGGAGGACUCGCCAUCUACUCUUCAAGUGAUGGCAGAAGCUGCGGAGAAACUCGAGAAAGAGGUUGAUGAUAAGGCUGCUGCAGAGAAGGCUGGUGAUGAGUUAGCUGCUGCUGAAAAGGCAGCUAGUGAUAAGGAAAAAGUUGGUGAUGAGGAGGAGACCAGGCCAAAGAGGACCCAUAAACCUUCUCGUCCGCUCAGGUCUCCGUAUCAGAAAAACUAAUAGCUAUUUGGAAUAGCUUUUAAGAACUAAAACUUAUGUUCCAACUAAAACUUAUGACUUAUGUUUCUUUUGAUGCUAAUACUUAUGACUUAUGUUUCUGUCUACUGAGACAACACCUGAAGGUAUUUGUUGUUGGCUUUUUUUUUCAUGUGCUAUCGGUUUAGAUUUGCUUCAGUGAUGUAAAUUUUGCUGUGUGGUGGUUUUGUUGUAAUUUGUUUUGUUGUAGAUGUUGAGGGUGAGGAAGAGGCUGCGAAAGAGGCUUAUGAGGUCGCUGGCAAUGAGGAUGAAG
Molecule: long non-coding RNA, 1214 nt
Filed under: Brassica napus (rape)
Lineage: Eukaryota; Viridiplantae; Streptophyta; Magnoliopsida; Brassicales; Brassicaceae
Description: long non-coding RNA (BNAP_LNC000211)
Source: RNAcentral